AGGCAGGUAGUUCAACUGGCUAGAACGUCCGACCGAUAAUCGGAAGGUUGCGGGUUCGAUCCCCGCUCUGCCUA
Molecule: transfer RNA, 74 nt
Filed under: Gammaproteobacteria bacterium
Lineage: Bacteria; Pseudomonadati; Pseudomonadota; Gammaproteobacteria
Description: tRNA-Ile
Rfam family: tRNA
About the family: Transfer RNA (tRNA) molecules are approximately 80 nucleotides in length. Their secondary structure includes four short double-helical elements and three loops (D, anti-codon, and T loops).
Source: RNAcentral